UACGUAGGGACCAAGCGUUGUUCGGAUUUACUGGGCGUAAAGGGCGCGUAGGCGGCGCGGUAAGUCACUUGUGAAAUCUCUGAGCUUAACUCAGAACGGCCAAGUGAUACUGCAGUGCUAGAGUGUGGAAGGGGCAAUCGGAAUUCUUGGUGUAGCGGUGAAAUGCGUAGAUAUCUGGAGGAAUACCGGUGGCGAAGGCGGCAUCCUGGACCGGCAUUGACGCUGAUGAGCGAAAGCUAGGGGAGCAAACGGG
Molecule: ribosomal RNA, 253 nt
Filed under: uncultured bacterium
Lineage: Bacteria
Description: partial 16S ribosomal RNA
Rfam family: Bacterial small subunit ribosomal RNA
Source: RNAcentral